ACAUUCCUAUAAAUCAGCCUUCUGACCCCCUCUGCAAACCAUUUAUGGACAUUAUGGAUGUAUUAGGAUUCCUGCAGUGCAUUCAGGGUUCGACACACAU
Long non-coding RNA from Thalassophryne amazonica, 100 nucleotides. RefSeq lists it as uncharacterized. Lineage: Eukaryota; Metazoa; Chordata; Actinopteri; Batrachoidiformes; Batrachoididae. The transcript has 3 exons. The record is from RefSeq and is a predicted model, not a curated record.